GAUACCCCACUAUGCCAUUGACGUAACCACAACUUGAUUAUUUUAUUUGUUCGCCAGAAAAUUACGGGUACUAUAUUACCUAAAACUCAAAAGACUUGACGGUGUCCCACCCUACCUAGAGGAGCCUGUUCAUAAUCGAUAUUCCACGCUCAACCUAACCACCACUAGCACCACAAACUCAGCCUAUAUACCGCCGUCAUCAGCUUACCCCUUAAAGGUCUUAUAGUAAGCAUAAUAGUAUUUAACUAAUACGUCAGGUCAAGGUGUAGCUCAUGUGGUGGCGUUAAUGGGCUACAUUAUUUAACCUAAAUAAUUACGGACUACCUCUUGAAACAGCCGUAUAAAGGUGGAUUUAGCAGUAACUUUAAGCAAGAAAACUUAAAUUAACACUCAGCCCUGGGACAUGUACACACCG
This 415-nucleotide ribosomal RNA is filed under the name Arthrosaura kockii. RNAcentral's name for it is "partial 12S ribosomal RNA". It matches the Rfam family "Bacterial small subunit ribosomal RNA", at positions 781 to 1392 of the family's 1533-position model. The record is from RNAcentral. Lineage: Eukaryota; Metazoa; Chordata; Lepidosauria; Squamata; Gymnophthalmidae.